Molecule: ribosomal RNA, 761 nt
Filed under: uncultured Inocybe
Lineage: Eukaryota; Fungi; Basidiomycota; Agaricomycetes; Agaricales; Cortinariaceae
Description: partial 28S ribosomal RNA
Rfam family: Eukaryotic large subunit ribosomal RNA
Source: RNAcentral
GAAUCCCGUCUUUGACAUGGACUGCCAGGGCUCAACAGGUGUGCUCUCGAAGAGUCGAGUUGUUUGGGAAUGCAGCUCAAAAUGGGUGGUAAAUGCCAUCUAAAGCUAAAUAUUGGCGAGAGACCGAUAGCGAACAAGUACCGUGAGGGAAAGAUGAAAAGAACUUUGGAAAGAGAGUUAAACAGUACGUGAAAUUGCUGAAAGGGAAACGCUUGAAGUCAGUCGCGUUGGCUAGAAAUCAACCUUGCUUUUGCUUUGUGUACUUUCUGGUUGACGGGUCAGCAUCAAUUUUGACCACUGGAUAAAGUCUUUGGGAAUGUGGCAUCUUCGGAUGUGUUAUAGCCCAUUGUCGCAUACGGUGGUUGGGAUUGAGGAACUCAGCACGCCGCAAGGCCGGGUUUCGACCACGUUCGUGCUUAGGAUGCUGGCAUAAUGGCUUUAAUCGACCCGUCUUGAAACACGGACCAAGGAGUCUAACAUGCCUGCGAGUGUUUGGGUGGAAAAACCCAUGCGCGCAAUGAAAGUGAAAGUUGAGAUCCUCUUCAAAGGGGGAGCAUUGACGCCCGGACCAGACCUUUUGUGACGGAUCCGCGGUAGAGCAUGCAUGUUGGGACCCGAAAGAUGGUGAACUAUGCCUGAAUAGGGUGAAGCCAGAGGAAACUCUGGUGGAGGCUCGUAGCGAUUCUGACGUGCAAAUCGAUCGUCAAAUUUGGGUAUAGGGGCGAAAGACUAAUCGAACCAUCUAGUAGCUGGUUCCUGCC